This 595-nucleotide ribosomal RNA is filed under the name uncultured Bacteroidota bacterium. Its description in RNAcentral is "bacterial SSU rRNA". It matches the Rfam family "Bacterial small subunit ribosomal RNA", at positions 122 to 715 of the family's 1533-position model. The record is from RNAcentral. Lineage: Bacteria; Pseudomonadati; Bacteroidota.
CAACCUGCCCACCACUUGGGGAUAACCUUGCGAAAGUAAGACUAAUACCCAAUGACGUCUCUAGAAGACAUCUGAAGGAGAUUAAAGAUUUAUCGGUGAUGGAUGGGGAUGCGUCUGAUUAGCUUGUUGGCGGGGUAACGGCCCACCAAGGCGACGAUCAGUAGGGGUUCUGAGAGGAAGGUCCCCCACAUUGGAACUGAGACACGGUCCAAACUCCUACGGGAGGCAGCAGUGAGGAAUAUUGGUCAAUGGACGAGAGUCUGAACCAGCCAAGUAGCGUGCAGGAUGACGGCCCUAUGGGUUGUAAACUGCUUUUAUAAGGGAAUAAAGUGAGUCUCGUGAGACUUUUUGCAUGUACCUUAUGAAUAAGGACCGGCUAAUUCCGUGCCAGCAGCCGCGGUAAUACGGAAGGUCCGGGCGUUAUCCGGAUUUAUUGGGUUUAAAGGGAGUGUAGGCCGGAGAUUAAGCGUGUUGUGAAAUGUAGACGCUCAACGUCUGCACUGCAGCGCGAACUGGUUUCCUUGAGUACGCACAAAGUGGGCGGAAUUCGUGGUGUAGCGGUGAAAUGCUUAGAUAUCACGAAGAACUCCGAUUG